UGGGCAAGGUCACAGAGAACAGGGGAAUCCCUGGGAAUCUUUCAAAACCCCAUCCAAGCACAAAAGCUUAUGCUAACCCCAGUCAGAACUCUGCCACCCAUCAGGAAGGCAUUCUUUCAUUUUCUAAGCUUCAUAAUUAUCCAGUGGAUCUCUUUGUUAACCAGAAGUUAUCUAAUUAACAAUCUGGCAUAUCACCUCUGAGAUAGUAAACCUCUUUGGUUUUUUUUUUAAUUUUAAUUAGCUACUUAUUCAACCCUAUGGUUCAUUGAAUACUUAUUAUCUACCCAGUAAUUAUCAGCUGCCGUGGGAGAGAAAUGUGGGACUAAGUAAGAGUCAUCAGACAGCUUACUAGUCGGCAGACAUGGAGAAAUCGCUAAGCAGUAGCCAAGCCAGCCAAUUCGGAGGGCGAAAGCUGGUCCAACUCACACCUCAAAACAUAAGAAUCUUGAUCGCGUGGGCUGUCAACUCUGGUUCCGUCCCUUCAUGGAGUCUCUUCGUGUGCUGUAUUGUAGGUGCCUUUUCACUUUCAAUAAAACUCUCCUGAUGGC
Mastomys coucha (southern multimammate mouse) is the source of this 548-nucleotide long non-coding RNA. RefSeq lists it as uncharacterized. NCBI's taxonomy places the organism in Eukaryota, Metazoa, Chordata, Mammalia, Rodentia, Muridae. The record is from RefSeq and is a predicted model, not a curated record. The transcript is spliced from 2 exons.